CGCGGUCAGCUUGUUGGGUAACGGCUCACCAAGGCGACGACGGGUAGCCGGCCUGAGAGGGCGACCGGCCACACUGGGACUGAGCGGCCCAGACUCCUACGGGAGCAGCAGUGGGGAAUAUUGCACAAUGGGCGAAAGCCUGAUGCAGCGACGGUGAGGGAUGACGGCCUUCGGGUUGUAAACCUUUUCAGCAGGGAAGAAGCGAAAGUGACGGUACCUGAAGCGCCGGCUAACUACGGCCAGCAGCCGCGGUAAUACGUAGGGCAAGCGUUGUCCGGAAUUAUUGGGCGUAAAGAGCUCGUAGGCGGCCACGUCGGUUGUGAAAGCGGGCUUAACCCCGGGUCUGCAGUCGAUACGGGCAGGCUAGAGUUCGGGGAGAUCGGAAUUCCUGGUGUAGCGGUGAAAUGCGCACAGGAGGAACACCGGUGGCGAAGGAUCUCUGGGCCGAUACUCGCUGAGGAGUGAAAGCGUGGGCGAACAGGAUUAGAUACCCUGGUCACGCCGUAAACGGUGGGCACUAGGUGUGGGCAACAUUCCACGUUGUCCGUGCCGCAGCUAAGUGCCCCGCCUGGGGAGUACGG
RNAcentral lists this ribosomal RNA (581 nucleotides) under Streptomyces rochei. RNAcentral describes it as "bacterial SSU rRNA". It matches the Rfam family "Bacterial small subunit ribosomal RNA", at positions 232 to 885 of the family's 1533-position model. The record is from RNAcentral. Lineage: Bacteria; Bacillati; Actinomycetota; Actinomycetes; Kitasatosporales; Streptomycetaceae.